RNAcentral lists this ribosomal RNA (494 nucleotides) under uncultured bacterium. RNAcentral describes it as "partial 16S ribosomal RNA". It matches the Rfam family "Bacterial small subunit ribosomal RNA", at positions 28 to 504 of the family's 1533-position model. The record is from RNAcentral.
GAUGAACGCUGGCGGCGUGCCUAAUACAUGCAAGUCGAGCGAACGGACGAGAAGCUUGCUUCUCUGAUGUUAGCGGCGGACGGGUGAGUAACACGUGGAUAACCUACCUAUAAGACUGGGAUAACUUCGGGAAACCGGAGCUAAUACCGGAUAAUAUUUUGAACCGCAUGGUUCAAAAGUGAAAGACGGUCUUGCUGUCACUUAUAGAUGGAUCCGCGCUGCAUUAGCUAGUUGGUAAGGUAACGGCUUACCAAGGCAACGAUGCAUAGCCGACCUGAGAGGGUGAUCGGCCACACUGGAAAGGAGACACGGUCAAGACUCCUACGGGAGGCAGCAGUAGGGAAUCUUCCGCAAUGGGCGAAAGCCUGGCGGAGCAACGCCGCGUGAGUGAUGAAGGUCUUCGGAUCGUAAAACUCUGUUAUUAGGGAAGAACAUAUGUGUAAGUAACUGUGCACAUCUUGACGGUACCUAAUCAGAAAGCCACGGCUAACUAC